RNAcentral lists this long non-coding RNA (323 nucleotides) under Homo sapiens (human). Its description in RNAcentral is "non-protein coding lnc-PIKFYVE-5:1". The record is from RNAcentral. Lineage: Eukaryota; Metazoa; Chordata; Mammalia; Primates; Hominidae.
AGUGCCCCCAUCAACAACUCUCUGCUGGUGGAUGGGCAUGUUCUGGUCACUGGUGAUGACACAGAUGGUAUCCAUCUCUAGGACCAGUGGAAGGAGGGCCUCUUAAUGGAUAUGAGGUAGCAUGAGGAGUACAUUGAAGACAUGGCUCUGUAUCCAGCUGAGAAGCUGCUGCUGAUAGCCAGCUACAACCUCAAAGCUGCCUUCCCUCCCCAUGUUCAAUAUCUUCCUGAAGGGGAACUUGUGGCUAAGACUGUUGCCCUACUUUCUACAGUGGAAAUGGCUACCUUGGCAUUUUCAAAAUCAAGAGAUGUUGGUUUGAGUUG